ACACUUUAUAGUGAGAUGCUUCAUUAGCUUAGGUGAAAAUAAGAAAAUCUCAGAUAAACCGCAAUGUUCAUCAGUGAUAAUGUCAUAUUAUACAUUAAUGACAACAGAUCUACAACUUGUUGACAUUAACAGAUCAUCACUUUUUUAAUAUCUUCUUGAGUGAUUCAUUCACUUAUUAAUCAUCACUCAAGAGAAUAAAUGAUGUGAUUUUCUCUUUAUCUUCUUCUUUUUUUCCUGCUCUUGUGUAUCUCUUGCUCGUGAUUUCCAUAAUAGCUUUCUCUUGGUCUCCCUCCAGUUGUUGCAGUUCCUUCUCCCAACGCUCUUCAUCCUUGCCUCGUAGAGAAGACCCGAGGAUUUUAAGUGUCAGAGGAAGGAAACCCGAUAUAUGGACAGCGCGAAGGGAUAGUGAUUCAAAACUAGUGGGAGGGUGUUGCUGGUCAAAAGCAGAGUGAGAAAAUAGUUGAAGAGCUUCGUCGUAUCUCAGAGACUGAACUUCAUAAGCAUGCUCCACACCAGACUCAACUAACAGGUUCCUGUCCUGUGUAACAAAGAUCACUCUACUUCCUGGAAUAAACCAGUGAGCAAGGUAUACUAUCUCCUUUAACUGUUUGAUGUUAUCAACGCAAUCAAUCACGAUCAGACCUUUUCGGUGUCCAAAUGUUGAUUUGAUUUUAUCAAUCCCCACAUCUAAACCCUGUGUUGUACCUUUUUCUGUUAACAACUUUAACAGAUCCCGGUCUUGGUGACAAAUCUUUUCAGCCUUGUCUACAAACACAUGAACUUUGAAGUUGCUAGAUAUUUCUUCAUAAGCGUACCUCGCUAGCGUCGUCUUGCCAAUGCCUCCUGGACCCCAAAUUCCUAUCAAACGAACUUCUUCAGCAGCUUUGAAAUCCAGCAAUUUGUAGAGUGUUUGCAUCUGACGAUCCAUACCAACCAGUCCAUCACCUUUGGCUGUUAAUGGCUUUCUAUUCGAGAUACUCAAGAUUUCAUUUGCAAUUAACUCAAUCAUGUCCGCUUCGUUGCUCCUAUGAUAAAAUCAAAAACAUAAAGGGAAAAGAAUCAUGAAUCCGAGUGAAAAAACCCUUGAAU
Molecule: long non-coding RNA, 1089 nt
Filed under: Arabidopsis thaliana (thale cress)
Lineage: Eukaryota; Viridiplantae; Streptophyta; Magnoliopsida; Brassicales; Brassicaceae
Description: potential natural antisense gene, locus overlaps with AT1G72850 (AT1G72852)
Source: RNAcentral